This 602-nucleotide unclassified non-coding RNA is filed under the name uncultured delta proteobacterium. Its description in RNAcentral is "partial contains 16S ribosomal RNA, 16S-23S ribosomal RNA intergenic spacer, and 23S ribosomal RNA". Lineage: Bacteria; Deltaproteobacteria. The record is from RNAcentral.
CAGCAGCCGCGGUAAUACGUAUGGUCCUUGAGCUCGCUGAUCACGACAUCCUGAAAUUCGCCCCCCAGUUGCUCUGCCACGCUGACCAGUAGAUCGUGCGUGAGGGGCCGCGGCGAUGGAUAGCCCUUCACGCGGCGGUCGAUGCUGUGAGCCUCGAACAACCCGAUCAGAAUGGGAAACGUCCGGUUCCCUUCCACUUCCCGCAAAUAAAUGAUUUGUUGGUCGUUGAUCUCGCUAAUGAUGAUCCGAGACAACUCCAUUUGGACGGGCAUAGUCCGAAACCCUGGUGCUAAGUGCGACGCGCUGUUCGACGCAUAGAUCGAUUAUACGUCUUCCACCUGCAUCGCUGCUAGUAGUUCAAUCCCACCACCAUACGUCCGGAGCGCGGGACUCCGGCGCGCUGGCGGCGCGGCGGCUAACGAGAGUGCCGCUUUUAUCCUUAUCAAUUGCCUCCGGCCGUACGAGUUGGCUGGCAUCGAACUGGACGCCACCGCUGACUGCUGCCACAAACCGGGAGCGAUUGAGCAUGCGAUGAUUGACGACCGACUGCACUCGCCGAGGAGCGGCGCCAGUGGCUACUUCGUAUUACCGCGGCUGCUGGA